UACUCCGUAGAACGAACUGACUUCUCUCCUUUUUCUUGGAUCCCUAAAGCUAUUUUAUUUUUUUUUCUAUUUUUUUCCUCACUUUCUACUGAUUUUUUCUGCUCUCGAAGCUUAUUCCCGUACCUCCUAUUUAUAGAUGAAUUUUUCAUAAUUUUUUGAUAGAAAAAUGAGUCUUAAAAUCUUUAAAAAUUAUUUUAAUCUCUUAAAAAUAUUUCUGGCUGUCGGAUCAGCUUCAGACCACCCAGAUCUGUCCGAAAAAUCCUCAUUUUAAUCCGAAUCAAAGUCGGAUCGAAUAUCGACCGUUGGAUCUGGGUUCUGAUAAAGUUCUGACUGUCGGAUCGCGCAAAAGAUCUCCUAUUCAAAGUCGAAAAUGUCCUCAGCCAUCCGAUCGCUUAAUGGAUCACUUCUGGAUCGUUAGAUCAUGCAAAAAUCCCUCUUAUAAACCAAUAAUGGAUGGUGACCAUCAGAUCUGGGUUGGGAUGAAUUUUAGUCGUUGGAUCGCAUCCAGAAUUCUUCUCUCACUGUGAGCCAUGCCCGUGGACCGCGUGAAGUUUCCUGUGGAUCGUGCCCUGGCUCUGUGGACUGACCGAUCGGUCC
Molecule: long non-coding RNA, 597 nt
Filed under: Elaeis guineensis (African oil palm)
Lineage: Eukaryota; Viridiplantae; Streptophyta; Magnoliopsida; Arecales; Arecaceae
Description: long non-coding RNA (EGUI_LNC004428)
Source: RNAcentral